UUUGAACAUUUCUCGCACUUCCACUUCUUUUCUCCAUGCUUUCUGCUAUAGUGCUUCUUUAUUCCUGUGAGGUCGCCAAGGGCUCUCGUUGGAUCGUGGUGUACACAGCUCUUUUCAGGGCAGAUAUACACCUUCUUUCGAACCUCUUUGGUUGAUCUUUGCUUCAGCUUCCAUGGAAGAUUGUGACCUCUUCUGUGAAGUUGAAGGUUUUGGUCUCUUUGGAAGCCCUUAUUGCAGAUUUCGCAAAUGAAUCGGUUUGUUGCCAUGAGAGAUUUUGGCGAUAAGGCAAUUACUUCGGCAUCUGGAUCUGGUGUUCCCGGUAAAUUUCUCCUCUUCUUCACUGAAUUUGUAGUAGGGUUAGGGUUAGGGUUUGGAGUUGGUUCUUGAUGAACAAAGCCUCUGAAGGUAGAGGAGGGAACAGAAAACCCAUCUUCAGACAUCAUUGUAAUUGGUAUACUGAAGCUGAAAGAAAGUGGGUUGAGUCCUAAACUAGCUAAAAGAGAAGAAGUAACUUGAGGGAGAGGUAGAGCAGUAGCUACCAAAUUAAACCAAGAAAUAAAAUAAAAACAAAAGCUUCACUGCUCAGCAUAAUCCCAACAAAUCUCUCAAAAAUUCUUCCCCUCUAAAAGAAAGAAUCCCAAUUUAGACUUGUCUUCAAUUCCUUAAAUUGCACCCUUACCUUAAUUCAAAACUCAUGUUUGCUUUGCUUCCCUUGAAGCCAAGACAAAUACACCAAACAAAACGACACUGCUAACUAUAGA
RNAcentral lists this unclassified non-coding RNA (761 nucleotides) under Hevea brasiliensis (rubber tree). Lineage: Eukaryota; Viridiplantae; Streptophyta; Magnoliopsida; Malpighiales; Euphorbiaceae. The record is from RNAcentral.